CCUGUGGGAAGCCUGGACACUUUUCCAAGGAAUGCCCUGAACGUGCAGACCGCAGAGGGAAAACAAGCUCCAAGACUGUCAACAUGGUGACCGCUAGCAAUACUGAUGGGUCGCAAGGGAUUCUUCCGUCCUAAUGGGGAAUGGGUCACAUGCUUCUGUUCGUGGCAUUGGCACGGUGGAUCUGAAGUUUACUUCG
Non-coding RNA from Triticum urartu, 196 nucleotides. The record is from RefSeq and is a predicted model, not a curated record. Lineage: Eukaryota; Viridiplantae; Streptophyta; Magnoliopsida; Poales; Poaceae.